GAUGAAGAACGUAGCGAAAUGCGAUAAGUAAUGUGAAUUGCAGGAUUCAGUGAAUCAUCGAAUCUUUGAACGCACAUUGCGCCCGCCAGUAUUCUGGCGGGCAUGCCUGUUCGAGCGUCAUUACAACCCUCAGGCCCCCGGGCCUGGCGUUGGGGAUCGGCGGAGCCCCCCGUGGGCACACGCCGUCCCCCAAAUGCAGUGGCGGUCCCGCCGCAGCUUCCAUCGCGUAGUAGCUAACACCUCGCGACUGGAGAGCGGCGCGGCCACGCCGUAAAACACCCAACUCUUCUGAAGUUGACCUCGAAUCAGGUAGGAAUACCCGCUGAACUUAAGCAUAUCAAUAAGCGGAGGA
RNAcentral lists this unclassified non-coding RNA (352 nucleotides) under soil metagenome. Its description in RNAcentral is "partial contains 5.8S ribosomal RNA, internal transcribed spacer 2, and large subunit ribosomal RNA". The stretch from base 1 to 120 matches the Rfam family "5.8S ribosomal RNA", at positions 35 to 154 of the family's 154-position model. The record is from RNAcentral.